RNAcentral lists this ribosomal RNA (229 nucleotides) under uncultured bacterium. RNAcentral describes it as "partial 16S ribosomal RNA". It matches the Rfam family "Bacterial small subunit ribosomal RNA", at positions 91 to 334 of the family's 1533-position model. The record is from RNAcentral.
UAAAGUGGCGUACGGGUGAGUAACACGUGGAUCAUCUACCCUUUUGUGGGGAAUACCGCUGGGAAACCGGCGACAAUACCGCAUAAGCUCGAGAGAGGAAAGCCGAAAGGCGCAGGAGGAGGAGUCCGCGGUCGAUUAGUUAGUUGGCAGGGUAAAAGCCUACCAAGACUGUGAUCGAUAGCCGGCCUGAGAGGGCACACGGCCACACUGGCACUGAAACACGGGCCAG